This 468-nucleotide ribosomal RNA is filed under the name uncultured bacterium. Its description in RNAcentral is "partial 16S ribosomal RNA". It matches the Rfam family "Bacterial small subunit ribosomal RNA", at positions 28 to 507 of the family's 1533-position model. The record is from RNAcentral.
GACGAACGCUGGCGGCGUGCUUAACACAUGCAAGUCGAACGGUGAAGCCCCAGCUUGCUGGGGUGGAUAAGUGGCGAACGGGUGAGUAACACGUGAGCAACCUGCCCCUGACUCUGGAAUAAGCGCUGGAAACGGCGUCUAAUACUGGAUACGAGAAGGGUCCGCAUGGGCACUUUCUGGAAAGUUUUUCGGUUGGGGAUGGGCUCGCGGCCUAUCAGCUUGUUGGUGAGGUAAUGGCUCACCAAGGCGACGACGGGUAGCCGGCCUGAGAGGGCGACCGGCCACACUGGGACUGAGACACGGCCCAGACUCCUACGGGAGGCAGCAGUGGGGAAUAUUGCACAAUGGGCGAAAGCCUGAUGCAGCGACGCCGCGUGAGGGAUGACGGCCUUCGGGUUGUAAACCUCUUUCAGCAGGGAAGAAGCGAAAGUGACGGUACCUGCAGAAGAAGCACCGGCUAACUACGUG